CCUACGGGUGGCUGCAGUGAGGAAUAUUGGUCAAUGGGCGGAAGCCUGAACCAGCCAAGUAGCGUGCGGGAUGAAGGCCCUACGGGUCGUAAACCGCUUUUGCACGGGGAUAACACCCUCCACUUGUGGAGGUCUGCAGGUACCGUGCGAAUAAGGGCCGGCUAAUUCCGUGCUAGCAGCCGCGGUAAUACGGAAGGCCCGAGCGUUAUCCGGAUUCAUUGGGCUUAAAGGGAGCGUAGAUGGGUUGUUAAGUCAGUUGGGAAAGUUUGCGGCGUAACCGUAAAAUUGCAAUUGAUACUGGCAGCCUUGAGUACAGUUGAGGUAGGCGGAAUUCGUGGUGUAGCGGUGAAAUGCUUAGAUAUCACGUAGAACUCCGAUUGCGAAGGCAGCUUACUAAACUGCCACUGACAUUGAUGCUCGAAAGUGUGGGUAUCAAACAGGAUUAGAUACCCUUGUAGUC
RNAcentral lists this ribosomal RNA (460 nucleotides) under uncultured bacterium. Its description in RNAcentral is "partial 16S ribosomal RNA". It matches the Rfam family "Bacterial small subunit ribosomal RNA", at positions 338 to 795 of the family's 1533-position model. The record is from RNAcentral.